AAGGAUGAGAAAGUGUCUUAGUAAUGCCGGCUCCAGAGAAUUGGAGUUUGGAAGCCAGAGGAGCCGGGUCCGCGGUGUGUCUGCGUUCUAGAGUCGUUUCCAUUCAUUCUUCGGCGUUCCCUGACCCGCGCCAGUCGGAGUGUCAGCCUCCGGGGAAAAUGGCACCGAAAGAGAGGAAGUGAAUCCUUAAGGUAAAAAAAAGGAAUCAGAUUCACACCUGCCUACCUGGAAAAUAAGUUACACUGCCCUAUACAGACACAGUGGCUUACCUCCAUGGGACUUUAGAGGUGUCAGGAAUCUUAGGUAUUAGUCUGAUCUGAGGGGUGCCCUCUCCGUCCCAGCAUCAUACUCCUAUUUUACAGAUGGAGAAAUAGGCCGAGGAAGGAGUUAGUCCAAGGUCAUACAAAGAAGUUGGUGGUAAUCUAGGUCUGGCUCCCAUUCAAUCCACUAUUUUAAUAAUGCCUUGAAAGAAUUGUGUAAAUAAAUUCAGACGUGAGGCAACAAUAAUAAAAAUAAUGGGUACCAA
Molecule: long non-coding RNA, 526 nt
Organism: Tupaia belangeri chinensis (Chinese tree shrew)
Lineage: Eukaryota; Metazoa; Chordata; Mammalia; Scandentia; Tupaiidae
Exons: 2
Source: RefSeq, a predicted model, not a curated record